Molecule: long non-coding RNA, 1085 nt
Filed under: Papio anubis (olive baboon)
Lineage: Eukaryota; Metazoa; Chordata; Mammalia; Primates; Cercopithecidae
Description: lncRNA (ENSPANG00000039805.1)
Source: RNAcentral
AUGCUGUUAAUCUGUGACCCUACCUCCAACCUUGUCCUUGCAAGAGACAUGUGUUGCGGUGACUCAAGGUUUAAUGGAUUUUGGGCUGUGCAGGAUGUGUCUUUGUUAAACAAAUGCCUGAAGGUAGCUUGCUGGUUAAAAGUUAUCACCAUUCUCUUAAUCUCAACUACCCAGAGACACGUACACGGCCAAAGGUCGCAGGGACCUCUGCCUAGGAAAGCUAGGUAUUGUCCAAGUGGGGAAAAGAAAGAGAGAUCAGCCUGUUACUGUGUCUAUAUAGAAAGAAGUAGACAUAAGAGACUCCAUUUGGUUCUGUAUUUGAGAUGCUGUUAAUCUGUGACCCUACCCCCAACCUUGUCCUUGCAAGAGACAUGUGCUGUGGUGACUCAAGGUUUAAUGGAUUUUGGGCUGUGCAGGAUGUGUCUGUGUCAAACAAGUGCCUGAAGACAGCUUGCUGGUUAAAAAUCCUGCCUGUCCCUGGGCAAUGGAACAUCUCGGUGUAAAACCCAAUUGUAUGCUCUGUUUACUGAGAUAGGAGAAAACCGCCUUAUGGCAUAAGGUGGGACUUGCUGGCGGGACUUGCUGGAGCAAUGCUGCUAAGAGGUUUAUGGAGAUGUUUGUAUAUGCAUAUCAAGGCACAGCAGUUUCCUUUGAACUUAUUCAUGUCACAGAGAUCUUUAUCCAUAUGUCUUACUGCUAAUUUUCUCCCUUCAGUGAUCCUAUUGUCCUGCCACUCCCUUAUCUUUAAGAUGGUAAAGAUAAUUAUCAAUAAAUACUAAGGGAACUCAGAGACUGGUGCCGGCGUGCGUCCUCUGUAUGCUGAGGGCUGGUCCCCUGGGCCCACUUUUUCUUUCUCUGUACUUUGUCUCUGUGUCUCAUUUCUUUUCUCAAGUCCCUCGUUCCACCUAACGAGAAAUGCCCACAGGUGUGGAGGGGCAGGCCACCCCUUCAAUAUCCCCCCAGAAAACAAACUUUACUUCUAACAUGAGCAUUUUUUAAUCUCUUUAUUGUCUCAUAUCAUUUCUUUGUACUGUAUUUUCAUGUCCAAAUUCUACUGAUUUCUGAAAAUAUGGUUUAAAUAUCCC